Capra hircus (goat) is the source of this 106-nucleotide small nuclear RNA. The record is from Ensembl. NCBI's taxonomy places the organism in Eukaryota, Metazoa, Chordata, Mammalia, Artiodactyla, Bovidae.
GAAUACCAUGCUGGCUUCAUACACCCAAAUUAGAACAAUACAGAGACCAUUAGACUGGCCCCCAUGCAAGGAUGAAGUGCAAACUCAUGUGCCAUGUUUUUUUUUU